Ipomoea nil (Japanese morning glory) is the source of this 330-nucleotide long non-coding RNA. RefSeq lists it as uncharacterized. The transcript is spliced from 3 exons. The record is from RefSeq and is a predicted model, not a curated record. Lineage: Eukaryota; Viridiplantae; Streptophyta; Magnoliopsida; Solanales; Convolvulaceae.
GAUAGGGUAGUUGAGAUUGUUGGAGAGGAGUAUGUAAAUGUAAAAGACGCUCUUUUUCAAGUUACUGAUAAGCUGAGGGAGAAUCUCUUCUUCAGUUUGGCCUCUAAGGGUGUAGCACAUAGGCAUUAUCCUUUCUCUUCAAUGCCUGAAAGCAGCCUCAGUGAAAUAUGGAGAAAAUCAUCUGCUGUCCAAACAGAUCUUGUGCCGAAGCCAGGUGGUCCUCAUAUAUGGCUGCAUAAAAAACAGGUUAAGGACACGGUGAAUGACACGACAAAUAAAGAUGGUUCAGGAGGCUGGAAUAAUUCGCGUGGUGCACUUGAACAUGGAAGG